UGGGGAAUCUUGCGCAAUGGACGAAAGUCUGACGCAGCGACGCCGCGUGGGUGAUGAAGGCCUUCGGGUUGUAAAGCCCUGUGGGGAGGGACGAAUAAGUUGCAGCUAAUACCUGCAGCGAUGACGGUACCUCCUUAGCAAGCACCGGCUAACUCUGUGCCAGCAGCCGCGGUAAGACAGAGGGUGCAAACGUUGUUCGGAAUUACUGGGCGUAAAGCGCGUGUAGGCGGUCAUGUAAGUCGGAUGUGAAAGCCCUCGGCUCAACCGAGGAAGUGCACUCGAAACUGCGUGACUAGAGUCUCGGAGAGGAUCGUGGAAUUCUCGGUGUAGAGGUGAAAUUCGUAGAUAUCGAGAGGAACACCGGUGGCGAAGGCGGCGAUCUGGACGAUGACUGACGCUGAGACGCGAAAGCGUGGGGAGCAAACAGGAUUAGAUACCCCUGUAGUCC
Molecule: ribosomal RNA, 448 nt
Filed under: uncultured bacterium
Lineage: Bacteria
Description: bacterial SSU rRNA
Rfam family: Bacterial small subunit ribosomal RNA
Source: RNAcentral